CUCAGGUUUGGUUCCUUGGGGCGCAUCAGAGUGCCACGUCUGACAACAGAUUUAUCAUCAUUCAAAGGUGAUCUCUAUCUCCUGGAUCUGGUAAAGGUAAGCUCAACAAACUAGACCAAGGUAUUGCUAGGACUGCAAAGCAUCAGGAU
RNAcentral lists this long non-coding RNA (149 nucleotides) under Calidris pugnax (ruff). Its description in RNAcentral is "lncRNA (ENSCPUG00000004070.1)". Lineage: Eukaryota; Metazoa; Chordata; Aves; Charadriiformes; Scolopacidae. The record is from RNAcentral.